GCCUACGGCCAUACCAAUCUGAAAGUGCAGAUCUCAGAAGUGCAGACUUGGGCCUGCUUAGUACUUGUAUGGGAGACCAACUAGGAACCUCAGGUGCGUAGCUU
This is a non-coding RNA of Pelobates cultripes (western spadefoot toad), 104 nucleotides long. NCBI's taxonomy places the organism in Eukaryota, Metazoa, Chordata, Amphibia, Anura, Pelobatidae. The record is from the annotation of a GenBank genome assembly.